This is a long non-coding RNA of Vigna unguiculata (cowpea), 428 nucleotides long. The record is from RefSeq and is a predicted model, not a curated record. NCBI's taxonomy places the organism in Eukaryota, Viridiplantae, Streptophyta, Magnoliopsida, Fabales, Fabaceae.
CUUGUCCUUAACCUUAAAUCUUAAACUCUAAAUAUAUAAUAUUUCGCUUCAGUUCAUGAGAUCGAAGUAGCUGAGUUGCACUUCCAGGCAAAGCAUUUGAUCAGUUCAAAAAAAUCAUUUUUCAAUUAUGGCUCCAUUCGUCUCUAAGGUCGAACACAAAUGGAAUGAAAGCAAAUUUGGUCGGUCGAAGAAGAAGGGGCAUGAAAAUGAAGCUCUUGAAAACAACAACUCACAUGGAAACAAAAUUAUAAGAACAAAAAAAAAAAGGAUAUGGCAGUUUAUUUCAACUUCUCUGUGUUGUCUCAAAGGAGGUCAACAAGCCUAGUAAUCAAUUUUCUAAGUGCACCUUUGCUUCAAAGGGAUGAAAAUUCAUGUGUGUGAAACCAGAAAUCAAUAUUUAUUGUUUCGCGAGUGAAACUACUUUUUAA